AGACGUAGGGGGCGAGCGUUGUCCGGGAAUUACUGGGCGUAAAGAGCACGUAGGCGGAUAUUUAAGUCAGGUGUGAAAGACCGCAGCUCAACUGCGGGGUUGCACCUGAAACAGGGUAUCUUGAGGGCAGGAGAGGGAAGUGGAAUUCCUGGUGUAGCGGUGAAAUGCGUAGAAAUCAGGAGGAACACCAGUGGCGAAGGCGACUUUCUGGACUGACCCUGACGCUGAGGUGCGAAAGCGUGGGUAGC
RNAcentral lists this ribosomal RNA (248 nucleotides) under uncultured bacterium. Its description in RNAcentral is "partial 16S ribosomal RNA". It matches the Rfam family "Bacterial small subunit ribosomal RNA", at positions 523 to 769 of the family's 1533-position model. The record is from RNAcentral.